GACCUCCUGGGAUCGCGUCUGGAGAGUGGCUAGUAUUCUACCAGCUUCGGAAACAGGAGGGAAAGCAAGCCUAGCAGAGGUACCCAUUCCAUUCCCAGCUUGCUUGGUAGCUGGUGACUGAUUGGAAGACACUCUGCAACAAGU
Molecule: small nucleolar RNA, 144 nt
Organism: Lemur catta (Ring-tailed lemur)
Lineage: Eukaryota; Metazoa; Chordata; Mammalia; Primates; Lemuridae
Source: RefSeq, a predicted model, not a curated record